GUUACACAACUCCACAAAGUUAAAAUCCAUUAUGAAAACGAAAAUGUUUGGGAAAUUUCAUCUCUUAUAUCAAUCCUUAUCUAAAACAAUUUGCCAACAAUAAGGGCACCACAUUGUUUAUUGACUAUCAAAACAAUGCAUUGUGGGAGAGCAUCAUUUUUUUAAAUCAUUUAAAUUUGCAAAAUAAUUUUAUUACCAAAACAAAAUUUAUAAUAUAAAGUUUGUUUUCUCCAUCCAAACAGUCCUUAAUUUUUCAGGUAUAAAAAAUUUACACAAAUAGUCAAAAAAUGGUAAAAGGACCCAAACCUUUUUCAGUUCAAAAUGGAAAGACAUCUGAUGUUCCGAUAUGUAAAAGGUUCGUGAAAUGAACAAGGUUUCCAUUACUACACGACUGAUAUGCACAUAAAUAAUUAGCACGACAACAAACGUCUGGAUGUGUUUCUAUGACAACAAUAAGGACACCACAUACAUAUUUAUAUCUUACGAUGCUGCCUUGUGAGCCAUUGUUAAUUAUAAAUAGGACUGAAGGACGGAUGGAACAAAUAAAAAUGCUUGCCAAGAUGGUCUUGCAUUGUUUAAAAGGCAUAUAAUUUCAAAAUGAAUUUUUAAUUGAAUCUUUUCUAGAAAUAAAUACAUGAGUCGAUGAUGAAAUAUUUAUUUGAUGUUUGUUUUUCUUAAAACCACUUUGGAUGAAUUGUGGCAUUCAUAUAUGGAAUAAUUUUUCAAUGAAAUUUGAUCUUAAAAUAUUUACAUGUUUUUUUUUCUUAUUUAAAUAUUUCAAUUUGUUUUUUUAAAUAUGGAGGAAAACUUUAUACCAAUUCACCAUCAGCGUGCAUAAUUACAUAUUUGUAAGAAUAUUUUUUUACUGAUUUGCAUUUUGAGUGUUUUCUUUUUUUAUUAUCAUGAUUAACAAAAAUAUGGUUUUCUGGAACGGAAAAAGUUUUAAUGGAAUAAAGCAGUUUCUAUCAAAUUUUCAUAAAAUCCCAAAAUUGUGAUAUUGUCGUUGAAUUUUGUACAGCGCUGCCCUCAUCAAUAUGAAAAAUACACAUCAAAAUUAUUUUUACUCUUUUGUAUGUAAUUAUUCUGGAGAAGAUCAAAUUGUUAAUUUUGACUGUGACCCUUUCCAAACUUCAGUCCAAAACAAUUCCUUAACAUUCUAUUUACGAUUUCAUUCAACUUUCUUACAUAAUUCUAAACAUCCCAUAGUGUCAUAUCAUUACUAAUUAUAUUUAUGUGACCUAAAUUGCUCUAAAAAACAUGAUGAAACCAAAAUCCAUUUGAGACUGAAUAUUAAGUUGAUUUUGAGAAACCCCUUGAUAUCCUAAAAAUUCAUUAUCCUUUAAAUGGUAUAAAAACCAAAUGUUUUAAUAUGUCUUUUUUUUUGUGAUUAAAAAUUUAUCAGGUUUUAUGGAAAACAUACCGGUAAAUGUUUUUUUCUUUAAAAAAAAGAUGCAUAUAAAUCUAAUAUUACCCCCUUCCUGGUUUAUGCAGCCCAUCUUUGUAUGGAAAAUGAGGAAAUGAAGGAAAGAUGAGUUAAAAAACUUAAUCAUUCAGUCAAAAUCAUGAAUAUUUUAGUUAAGUAAAACAUUUUAGAGUACCCUUUUAUGUAUACUAAAAGAUCCUAAUUCUAUAAGUGAGCAAUUUAAAAUUCACUUCUCUACAAGUAC
RNAcentral lists this long non-coding RNA (1667 nucleotides) under Mytilus galloprovincialis (Mediterranean mussel). The record is from RNAcentral. Lineage: Eukaryota; Metazoa; Mollusca; Bivalvia; Mytilida; Mytilidae.